CCUACGGGAGGCAGCAGUGAGGAAUAUUGGUCAAUGGACGAGAGUCUGAACCAGCCAAGUAGCGUGAAGGAUGACUGCCCUAUGGGUUGUAAACUUCUUUUAUAUGGGAAUAAAACGUUCCACGUGUGGGAUUUUGUAUGUACCAUAUGAAUAAGGAUCGGCUAACUCCGUGCCAGCAGCCGCGGUAAUACGGAGGAUCCGCGCGUUAUCCGGAUUUAUUGGGUUUAAAGGGAGCGUAGGUGGUUUGUUAAGUCAGUUGUGAAAGUUUGCGGCGCAACCGUAAAAUUGCAGUUGAAACUGGCAGUCUUGAGUACAGUAGAGGUGGGCGGAAUUCGUGGUGUAGCGGUGAAAUGCUUAGAUAUCACGAAGAACUCCGAUUGCGAAGGCAGUUCACUGGACUGAAACUGACACUGAGGCUCGAAAGUGUGGGUAUCAAACAGGAUUAGAUACCCCUGUAGUC
RNAcentral lists this ribosomal RNA (460 nucleotides) under uncultured bacterium. RNAcentral's name for it is "partial 16S ribosomal RNA". It matches the Rfam family "Bacterial small subunit ribosomal RNA", at positions 338 to 795 of the family's 1533-position model. The record is from RNAcentral.